GACGAACGCUAGCUGCGGGCUUAACACAUGCAAGUCGAACGGAAAGGCCCUGCUUUUGUGGGGUGCUCGAGUGGCGAACGGGUGAGUAACACGUGAGUAACCUGCCCUUGACUUUGUGAUAACUUCAGGAAACUGGGGCUAAUACCGGAUAGGAGCUCCUGCUGCAUGGUGGGGGUUGGAAAGUUUCGGCGGUUGGGGAUGGACUCGCGGCUUAUCAGCCUGAUGGUGGGGUAGUGGCUUACCAAGGCUUUGACGGGUAGCCGGCCUGAGAGGGUGACCGGCCACAUUGGGACUGAGAUACGGCCCAGAGUCCUACGGGAGGCAGCAGUGGGGAAUAUUGCACGAUGGGCGGAAGCCUGAUGCAGCAACGCCGCGUGCGGGAUGACGGCCUUCGGGUUGUAGACCGCUUUCGCCUGUGACGAAGCGUGAGUGACGGUAAUGGGUAAAGAAGCACCGGCUAACUACGUG
Molecule: ribosomal RNA, 468 nt
Filed under: uncultured bacterium
Lineage: Bacteria
Description: partial 16S ribosomal RNA
Rfam family: Bacterial small subunit ribosomal RNA
Source: RNAcentral